UAGGGAAUCUUCGGCAAUGGACGAAAGUCUGACCGAGCAACGCCGCGUGAGUGAAGAAGGUUUUCGGAUCGUAAAACUCUGUUGUUAGAGAAGAACAAGGACGUUAGUAACUGAACGUCCUCUUACGGUAUCUAACCAGAAAGCCACGGCUAACUACGUGCCAGCAGCCGCGGUAAUACGGAGGUGGCAAGCGUUGUCCGGAUUUAUUGGGCGUAAAGCGAGCGCAGGCGGUUUGUUAAGUCUGAUGUGAAAGCCCCCGGCUCAACCGAGGAAGGACAUUGGAAACUGGGAGACUUGAGUGCAGAAGAGGAGAGUGGAAUUCCAUGUGUAGCGGUGAAAUGCGUAGAUAUAUGGAGGAACACCAGUGGAGAAGGCGGCUCUCUGGUCUGAAACUGACGCUGAGGCUCGAAAGCGUGGGGAGCAAACAGG
This 429-nucleotide ribosomal RNA is filed under the name Gemmatimonadota bacterium. RNAcentral describes it as "Gemmatimonadetes bacterium partial 16S ribosomal RNA". It matches the Rfam family "Bacterial small subunit ribosomal RNA", at positions 355 to 776 of the family's 1533-position model. The record is from RNAcentral. Lineage: Bacteria; Pseudomonadati; Gemmatimonadota.